GACGAACGCUGGCGGCGUGCCUAAUACAUGCAAGUAGAACGCACAGUUUAUACCGUAGCUUGCUACACCAUAGACUGUGAGUUGCGAACGGGUGAGUAACGCGUAGGUAACCUGCCUGGUAGCGGGGGAUAACUAUUGGAAACGAUAGCUAAUACCGCAUAAUAUUGAUUAUUGCAUGAUAAUUAAUUGAAAGGUGCAAUUGCACCACUACCAGAUGGACCUGCGUUGUAUUAGCUAGUAGGUGAGGUAACGGCUCACCUAGACGACGAUACAUAGCCGACCUGAGAGGGUGAUCGGCCACACUGGGACUGAGACACGGCCCAGACUCCUACGGGAGGCAGCAGUAGGGAAUCUUCGGCAAUGGACGAAAGUCUGACCGAGCAACGCCGCGUGAGUGAAGAAGGUUUUCGGAUCGUAAAGCUCUGUUGUAAGAGAAGAACGGGUGUGAGAGUGGAAAGUUCACACUGUGACGGUAUCUUACCAGAAAGGGACGGCUAACUACGUG
RNAcentral lists this ribosomal RNA (505 nucleotides) under uncultured bacterium. RNAcentral describes it as "partial 16S ribosomal RNA". It matches the Rfam family "Bacterial small subunit ribosomal RNA", at positions 28 to 507 of the family's 1533-position model. The record is from RNAcentral.